AGAGUUUGAUCCUGGCUCAGAUUGAACGCUGGCGGAUGCCUAACACAUGCAAGUCGAACGGCAGCACAGCAGUAGCAAUACUGUGGGUGGCGAGUGGCGGACGGGUGAGGAAUACAUCGGGACCUGCCCAGACGUGGGGGAUAACGUAGGGAAACUUACGCUAAUACCGCAUACGUCCUACGGGAGAAAGCGGGGGAUCGCAAGACCUCGCGCGGUUGGAUGGACCGAUGUUCGAUUAGCUAGUUGGUGAGGUAAUGGCUCACCAAGGCGACGAUCGAUAGCUGGUCUGAGAGGAUGAUCAGCCACACUGGGACUGAGACACGGCCCAGACUCCUACGGGAGGCAGCAGUGGGGAAUAUUGACAAUGGGCGCAAGCCUGAUCCAGCAAUGCCGCGUGUGUGAAGAAGGCCUUCGGGUUGUAAAGCACUUUUAUCAGGAGCGAAAUACUACGGGCUAAUACCCUGUGGGGCUGACGGUACCUGAGGAAUAAGCACCGGCUAACUUCGUGCCAGCAGCCGCGGUAAUACGAAGGGUGCAAGCGUUAAUCGGAAUUACUGGGCGUAAAGCGUGCGUAGGCGGUUAUUUAAGUCUGCUGUGAAAUCCCCGGGCUCAACCUGGGAAUGGCAGUGGAUACUGGAUAGCUAGAGUGUGAUAGAGGAUGGUGGAAUUCCCGGUGAGCGGUGAAAUNNGUAGAGAUNNGGAGNNNCUCAUGGAAGGCGGCCAUCUUGAUCAANNCUNNCGCUGAGGCACGAAACGUGGGGAGCAAACAGGAUUAGAUACCCUAGUAGUCC
RNAcentral lists this ribosomal RNA (791 nucleotides) under uncultured bacterium. RNAcentral's name for it is "bacterial SSU rRNA". It matches the Rfam family "Bacterial small subunit ribosomal RNA", at positions 8 to 796 of the family's 1533-position model. The record is from RNAcentral.